RNAcentral lists this ribosomal RNA (482 nucleotides) under uncultured bacterium. RNAcentral describes it as "partial 16S ribosomal RNA". It matches the Rfam family "Bacterial small subunit ribosomal RNA", at positions 30 to 507 of the family's 1533-position model. The record is from RNAcentral.
AUUGAACGCUGGCGGCAUGCUUUACACAUGCAAGUCGAACGGUAACAGCACUUCGGUGGCUGACGAGUGGCGAACGGGUGAGUAAUACAUCGGAACGUGCCUAGUAGUGGGGGAUAACUACUCGAAAGAGUAGCUAAUACCGCAUGAGAUCUAAGGAUGAAAACAGGGGACCUUCGGGCCUUGCGCUACUAGAGCGGCUGAUGGCAGAUUAGGUAGUUGGUGGGAUAAAAGCUUACCAAGCCGACGAUCUGUAGCUGGUCUGAGAGGACGACCAGCCACACUGGGACUGAGACACGGCCCAGACUCCUACGGGAGGCAGCAGUGGGGAAUUUUGGACAAUGGGCGCAAGCCUGAUCCAGCAAUGCCGCGUGCAGGAUGAAGGCCUUCGGGUUGUAAACUGCUUUUGUACGGAACGAAAAGCCCUCUUCUAAUACAGGAGGGUCAUGACGGUACCGUAAGAAUAAGCACCGGCUAACUACGUG